GUGGGGAAUCUUCCGCAAUGGACGAAAGUCUGACGGAGCAACGCCGCGUGAGUGAAGAAGGUUUUCGGAUCGUAAAGCUCUUUCGUUAGGGACGAACGUGCUCUUUGUGAAUAAUGAGGAGUAAUGACGGUACCUAAAUAAGAAGCCACGGCUAACUACGUGCCAGCAGCCGCGGUAAUACGUAGGUGGCAAGCGUUGUCCGGAAUUAUUGGGCGUAAAGCGCGCGCAGGCGGGAUAUCAAGUCUGUCUUAAAAGUGCGAGGCUCAACCUCGUGAGGGGACAGAAACUGGUAUUGUUGAGUGUCGGAGAGGAAAGUGGAAUUCCAAGGGUAGCGGUGAAAUGCGUAGAGAUUUGGAAGAACACCAGUGGCGAAGGCGACUUUCUGGACGAUGUCUGACGCUGAGGCGCGAAAGCUAGGGGAGCGAACGGGAUUAGAAACCCUAGUAGUCC
This 450-nucleotide ribosomal RNA is filed under the name uncultured bacterium. RNAcentral's name for it is "partial 16S ribosomal RNA". It matches the Rfam family "Bacterial small subunit ribosomal RNA", at positions 354 to 796 of the family's 1533-position model. The record is from RNAcentral.